RNAcentral lists this ribosomal RNA (645 nucleotides) under uncultured bacterium. Its description in RNAcentral is "bacterial SSU rRNA". It matches the Rfam family "Bacterial small subunit ribosomal RNA", at positions 202 to 842 of the family's 1533-position model. The record is from RNAcentral.
CAAAGGGAGCAAUCCCGGCCACGGAUGGGCAUGCGGCGCAUUAGCUAGUCGGCGGGGUAACGGCCCACCGAGGCGACGAUGCGUAGGGGUUCUGAGAGGAAGGCCCCCCACACUGGUACUGAGACACGGACCAGACUCCUACGGGAGGCAGCAGUGAGGAAUAUUGGUCAAUGGGCGCGAGCCUGAACCAGCCAAGUCGCGUGAGGGAGGACGGCCCUACGGGUUGUAAACCUCUUUUGCCGGGGAGCAACGGGCGUCACGUGUGGCGCCACUGAGAGUACCCGGAGAAAAAGCAUCGGCUAACUCCGUGCCAGCAGCCGCGGUAAUACGGAGGAUGCGAGCGUUAUCCGGAUUUAUUGGGUUUAAAGGGUGCGUAGGCGGAUCGUUAAGUCAGUGGUCAAAUUGAGGGGCUCAACCCCUUCCCGCCAUUGAAACUGGCGAUCUUGAGUGGAAGAGAAGUAUGCGGAAUGCGUGGUGUAGCGGUGAAAUGCAUAGAUAUCACGCAGAACCCCGAUUGCGAAGGCAGCAUGCCGGCCUCCGACUGACGCUGAAGCACGAAAGCGUGGGGAUCGAACAGGAUUAGAUACCCUGGUAGUCCACGCGGUAAACGAUGAGCGCUAGGUGUCCGGGGGGAAUGGCCCCUGG